Long non-coding RNA from Populus trichocarpa (black cottonwood), 970 nucleotides. RefSeq lists it as uncharacterized. The record is from RefSeq and is a predicted model, not a curated record. Lineage: Eukaryota; Viridiplantae; Streptophyta; Magnoliopsida; Malpighiales; Salicaceae. The transcript has 2 exons.
ACAACUGCAGCUUUCAUACUAAUACCAGCAAAGAUAAGAAUGCAGUGAGCAGAAAUAAGAAAGAAUAGAAAGGAGGCCACCAGCUUUAGCAAGAAAAGAGAGAUCAAUUCUUUUUUUUCUGGAGCAAGAAAAUUAGAACCAUCAUUGUCAUGGAAAGCAAAGCGGGAGGAGAAAACGUUGCUUACCUGGUCUACUGGAGGCGAUGAAGACGAUGGUGAAGCUCUUUCUGUGUGAUCGGGUGACACUAGCCGGGCACCCGUUUCAACCUUCCCUUCGUUCCUCUAGCUUUAUUCUUUCUGUUUCUGAUGGUUCGGAGUGGUGAAGCUGGAGACGAAUGCCCAGGCUGAUCAAUACUUGCAGUUUCUCUGUUUUCCCUUGUUCACUUUGCUUGCGUUCUGGGGAGGAAGGCAAAGCUGGGAACGCUGGCUUUUUGCUCUCUCCUCCUUUCUCUUUUUUUAGUCUGUCCUCCUUUAUUUCUCUGUUUCCGUUCGUGCUCUCUGUUUUUCUUUGUGUUGUUCUCUGCUUUUUUUUGUUCGUCUUUCUCUGGUACUCUCUGUCUAUUCUUUCCCUCUUAGUGUUUCUCUGGUUCUCUCCCCCACUGGUUCGUGGCCUUCUCUGGCUUUUAUAAAGCCAUCUAAUGGCCUCUGUUCGUGCGUUCGUGCCUCAAGAUCAUGGGGGCACGUUCGCUCCUGUCUCUGAGAAGAGUCAGGACUGUUGGCCACGAUAUCGUGGCCUCCGGAGAGGGCGUCGUGGAGGAUAAUGGGCAGCUGUACAUUCCCUGCAAAACCAGUCCCCGGGAUGAGGUAGAAGGCGAUAAACAGUUUUAUGACACGACGCCGUUUUCUACUCUGCAGUGGCUAUUUACGAUUUGGUCACUGAAGUUAUUAAAUUUUGUAAUCAAGCCUCUGGAUAAAUAUUAAUUGGAACCCUGUAUUUUAGCGGAAUUUACAAAAUGAUCCUUGAACUUUAA